GACGAACGCUGGCGGCGUGCCUAAUACAUGCAAGUCGAGCGGGGAUUAUGCUUGAUCGCUUCGGUGAGACGGCAUAUAUCCUAGCGGCGGACGGGUAAGUAACGCGUGGGUAAUCUACCUCGUAGUUCGGGAUAACAGGCCGAAAGGCUUGCUAAUACCGGAUGAGUUCAUGCUUAUGCAUAUAGGCAUGAAGAAAGGGCUAGCCCGCUAUGAGAUGAGCCCGCGUCCCAUUAGCUUGUUGGUGGGGUAAUGGCCUACCAAGGCAACGAUGGGUAGCCGGCCUGAGAGGGUGUACGGCCACACUGGGACUGAGACACGGCCCAGACUCCUACGGGGGGCAGCAGUAGGGAAUUUUCGGCAAUGGGCGAAAGCCUGACCGAGCGACGCCGCGUGAGGGACGAAGGCCUUCGGGUUGUAAACCUCUGUCUGGGGGGAUGAGAACGGACGGUACCCCCGGAGGAAGCCCCGGCUAACUACGUG
RNAcentral lists this ribosomal RNA (480 nucleotides) under uncultured bacterium. RNAcentral describes it as "bacterial SSU rRNA". It matches the Rfam family "Bacterial small subunit ribosomal RNA", at positions 28 to 507 of the family's 1533-position model. The record is from RNAcentral.